This is a long non-coding RNA of Saccostrea echinata, 1135 nucleotides long. RefSeq lists it as uncharacterized. The record is from RefSeq and is a predicted model, not a curated record. Lineage: Eukaryota; Metazoa; Mollusca; Bivalvia; Ostreida; Ostreidae. The transcript has 9 exons.
UAGCCCGACAGGCUAAUGCAGUAUAGAUUUAUGAUAGCCCAACCUCUAAAAUUGGUAGCCCUGAGCGUUGGGCAAUGGUAAUUGCACACCCCUGCCGGGGGCAGGGCGGGUCACAAUGGGAGAUCAAAGUUUUACAUGGGAAUACAUUGGAAAAAUCUUCUCCAGAACCACUGGGCCAAGAAAGAUGAAACUGAUGUAGAAACAUCUUCAGAGAAGACGAAUGUCACCUUCGUCAGAAGCAGAUUUUUACUGCCAGGCUGGCUUUGACCAAAAAGGUUUUGAGAUCAAAUUUAUAUCAGACUAUAAAUUAAAACAUCCAAAUGGCUAGCUCAGAUGUGGAAGUGGAAUCGGACCCUUUUAGUUGGGAAUUCAAUGGAAAUUCAUUUGACAGUGAUGAUGAUGAUGAGAUUAAUUCAGCUUGUUGUGAUCCUCCUGGACAUCCAAGUGUUUUCGACAUUGAUGAAGAUUUUGUCAAUCUCUCUCUUGGACCAAACCAAGAAAUGAUGGUUUUAAGAAGAUUAUAGGAUAUGUCAUAGAAUACGAAGACCCCACCACUGGAGGCAGGCUAACGACUACCCAGUAGAUGAGUGUGUUUAUGAGGUGAAGGGAUUAAAAAAGGACAAGGAAUACAACUUCCACAUACAGGCCAAGAAUCUUGAAGGUUUUUAAAUCAGUGAGUCUAGUGAUGUGAUUGGUCCCAUAACUCCCAAGCCCAAAUACACCAAGGUUUUGCCACCUGUUGUACCAGAGGCUGUCAACAAUUCUAUAACUUAUCUGAAAUGGGAACCACCUAAACAUAAUGGUGGCUGUAAAAUUACAGACUACCUUGUAGAAGAGAGGUUUAAGGGAACAGAGAAAUGAGUACCCCUGCACUGACCCCUCUUUACUGUCACCGAUCUUCCUCAGGACUCAGAGUGGGAGUUUAGAGUUACAGCUGAUAACUUUGCUGGAAACUGUGAGCUCAGUCUGUGCUCACCAGCAUACAAAAUCCAGGAGAAGAUUGAGUCUUUUGCAAUUGAGCAGGAUGAGGAAUCACACCAAUCAUUUGUAAAUGAAAGCAGCAGUCAUGAUGUUGUCAAUGAGAAUGAAUUUUAAAUAGGACAUGAUACAGGGCCACUUUAAGUGAUGAAGCAGA